RNAcentral lists this unclassified non-coding RNA (201 nucleotides) under uncultured Basidiomycota. RNAcentral describes it as "sequence contains ITS1". The record is from RNAcentral. Lineage: Eukaryota; Fungi; Basidiomycota.
UCGAGUUGAAACGGGGACUUGAGCUGGCCUUCCGGGGCAAGUGCUCGGUCCUCUGCUCAAUCCAUCUACCCCUGUGCACCUAUUGUGGGUACUGUGUCGCGGAAGCAGGCUGGAGGACGGCCUGUGGAUGCGCAUAUACUCAUGUUUUACACACUACGCAUGUCUUAGAAUGUCUUUUUUUGCGUUAACUCGCAUGUAAUA